GGCGCACGGGUGAGUAACACGUAGCUGACCUGCCCUUCGCAGGGGGAUAACCCACCGAAAGGUGAGCUAAUACCGCGUAAGCUGGAAGAGGCUAGAGGCUUUUCCAGGAAAGUUUUUAACGGCGAAGGAGGGGGCUGCGGUCCAUCAGCUGGCUGGUGAGGUAAUGGCUCACCAGGGCGAUGACGGAUAGGGGGCCUGAGAGGGUGACCCCCCACACUGGAACUGAGACACGGUCCAG
Molecule: ribosomal RNA, 238 nt
Filed under: uncultured bacterium
Lineage: Bacteria
Description: partial 16S ribosomal RNA
Rfam family: Bacterial small subunit ribosomal RNA
Source: RNAcentral